GGCAUUGUUAUAGGCAGCAAAUGGUGAGGGAAAGGAGAAUAGAAAGCAUAGAGAUGAGAAAUAGUGCAAUGGUGUGUGUGUGUGUGUGUGUGUGAAGACUUGAGUGUGUUAGAGGUAGACUUAGGUAUUUUGAAUAGACAUUAUUAUAGGCAGCAAACUAUUGAAGAUGGAGAGCAUAGAAAGGAGAAAAAGUGCAAUAGAGUGGGCGGUGACUCAAUCGUGUUAUGUUAUGUGAUGGUGAUAAUGAUUCAGGAUAUAUUUACCAAGUUACCAAGGAAGUUUUACCUUAUAGAGUUAUCGACCGUACAGUAAAACAGAAUAUCGUGAAAUCUCAAUAAUGCAUCAGAGUGUGUGAUGAUUGAUUCUUAGGGCCAUAUCAUAAGACAUUUCACUGCCCAAGAACACAUAUUUGACAAGGCUUUCGUAUGAGUUGUGGGCAUUUCCAGGAGUAGUUUUAUGACCCUGGUGGUAGUGUGACCCUUCUUCUUUACCGUGAACCUAAGGAAACACUCAUUAGAACGCAACUGACCCCCUCUUUGACCUUUAGAAAUUGUUAAUGUGAGAACCGAGAGUAUCUUAUAUUACCAGCCUUAAUGAUUGGGUUAUGUUGAGGGGUGUACUACUUAAGAUUCAUCCUGGUUUUGUCGAGUAGAGAGGCGGAAUGAGUGUGUUAUGAAUCAGUUGUUACAUACAGAGUUGCACGUGUAGAAUUCAGGUUAAUUACUCAUAAGUCAACCGCACUCCCUGGUUACCUACUCGGACCUCAGCGCAGAGAUCUGUUUUUAUUUAUUUAUUUAUUUAUUUAUUUAUUUUUUCACUCGUGUAUUUUGUAGCAUAAUGAAGAUCUUGAAACUAAUACAUGCACAUUGUUGUUGUUUUUUCGUGUUUUUGUUUUGUCUUGAUUUCCUUUUUUUGUAGUCAUUAUGUGUGUGUGUGUGUGUGUGUGUGUGUGUGUGUGUGUGUGUGUGUGUUACUGAGUCUCUUCGUUUCCGUAAGAUAUAUACUUUGUCAAUUUCCCGUGUUAGAUGUAUUCCUGGGACUACAUAUUGUUACAGUUAUACAUACAAAUGCAAUAUCAACAUUUACAUACAUCCAUACAUCCAUACACCCAUAUCUUUGUGUUCACUUAUGAAACUGUAAUACCGUUCCCCCCUCCCCCCUCUUCCUCGCCUCAUUGUUAGGUGUUCUGAGGUGUUCAUUUUGAUUGUACUAUGUUCCGUAAAUGUUCCGUCACUCAUUUAGGAGACAAUAAAGGAGAGAUAACUGA
Long non-coding RNA from Eriocheir sinensis (Chinese mitten crab), 1267 nucleotides. RefSeq lists it as uncharacterized. Lineage: Eukaryota; Metazoa; Arthropoda; Malacostraca; Decapoda; Varunidae. The record is from RefSeq and is a predicted model, not a curated record. The transcript is spliced from 2 exons.